This 301-nucleotide ribosomal RNA is filed under the name Escherichia coli. RNAcentral's name for it is "bacterial SSU rRNA". It matches the Rfam family "Bacterial small subunit ribosomal RNA", at positions 771 to 1070 of the family's 1533-position model. The record is from RNAcentral. Lineage: Bacteria; Pseudomonadati; Pseudomonadota; Gammaproteobacteria; Enterobacterales; Enterobacteriaceae.
UCUAGGAUUAGAUACCCUGGUAGUCCACGCCAUAAACGAUGUCGACAUGGAAGUUGUGCCCUUGAGGCGUGGCUUCCGGAGCUAACGCGUUAAGUCGACCGCCUGGGGAGUACGGCCGCAAGGUUAAAACUCAAAUGAAUUGACGAGGGCCCGCACAAGCGGUGGAGCAUGUGGUUUAAUUCGAUGCAACGCGAAGAACCUUACCUGGUUCUUGACAUCCACGGAAGUUUCCAGAGAUGAGAAUGUGCCUUCGGGAACCGUGAGACAGGUGCUGCAUGGCUGUCGUCAGCUCCGGGCGAAA